This 266-nucleotide ribosomal RNA is filed under the name uncultured bacterium. RNAcentral's name for it is "partial 16S ribosomal RNA". It matches the Rfam family "Bacterial small subunit ribosomal RNA", at positions 330 to 591 of the family's 1533-position model. The record is from RNAcentral.
GUCGGCCUACGGGAGGCAGCAGUAGGGAAUCUUCCACAAUGGACGAAAGUCUGAUGGAGCAACGCCGCGUGAGUGAAGAAGGGUUUCGGCUCGGAAAGCUCUGUUGGUAGUGAAGAAAGAUAGAGGUAGUAACUGGCCUUUAUUUGACGGUAAUUACUUAGAAAGUCACGGCUAACUACGUGCCAGCAGCCGCGGGAAUACGUAGGUGGCAAGCGUUGUCCGGAUUUAUUGGGCGUAAAGCGAGUGCAGGCGGUUCAAUAAGAGUG